CAGUAGCCACGGGAAUACGAAGGGGGCUAGCGUUGUUCGGAAUUACUGGGCGUAAAGCGCACGUAGGCGGAUAUUUAAGUCAGGGGUGAAAUCUCAGAGCUCAACUCUGGAACUGCCUUUGAUACUGGGUAUCUUGAGUAUGGAAGAGGUGAGUGGAAUUCCGAGUGUAGAGGUGAAAUUCGUAGAUAUUCGGAGGAACACCAGUGGCGAAGGCGGCUCACUGGUCCAUUACUGACGCUGAGGUGCGAAAGCGUGGGGAGCAAACAGGAUUAGAUACCCGAGUAGUCCCUGUCUCUUAUAC
This 301-nucleotide ribosomal RNA is filed under the name uncultured bacterium. RNAcentral describes it as "partial 16S ribosomal RNA". It matches the Rfam family "Bacterial small subunit ribosomal RNA", at positions 509 to 807 of the family's 1533-position model. The record is from RNAcentral.